This 2873-nucleotide ribosomal RNA is filed under the name Gigantolina magna. RNAcentral's name for it is "SSU rRNA". It matches the Rfam family "Eukaryotic small subunit ribosomal RNA". The record is from RNAcentral. Lineage: Eukaryota; Metazoa; Platyhelminthes; Cestoda; Amphilinidea; Amphilinidae.
UAAUCAUAUGCUUGUCUCAAAGAUUUAGCCAUGCAUGUCUAAGUUCACGCCUUAAUACGGUGAAACCGCGAAUGGCUCAUUAAAUCAGCUAUGGUUUAUUGGAUUGUGAACGUUAAAUGGAUAACUGUAAUAACUCUAGAGCUAAUACAUGCCUGAUAAGCCCUGACUCGUAGUCGGUGGGUAUUAAAAGGCUUACCGAUUGCGAGGAUGGGUGCACUUAUUAGUUCAGAAGCCAACCUGGCCGGUUAGCUGCCGUGCCUGUUGAUAAGCAUUCUGGUGACUCUGGAUAAUUGUUGCGGAUCGCAGUGAGCCAUUUGAGCUGGCGACGGAUCCUUCAAAUGUCUGCCCUAUCAACUAUCGAUGGUAGGUGACCUGCCUACCAUGGUGAUAACGGGUAACGGGGAAUCAGGGUUCGAUUCCGGAGAGGGAGCCUGAGAAAUGGCUACCACUUCCAAGGGGGGCAGCAGGCGCGCAAAUUACCCACUCCCGGCACGGGGAGGUGGUGACGAAAAAUACUGAUGCGGGACUCAUACGAGGCCCCGUAAUCGGAAUGAGUGUACUUUAAAGCCUUGAAUGAAGACCAAUUGGUAGGGCAAGUCUGGUGCCAGCAGCCGCGGUAACUCCAGCUCCAAUAGCGUAUAUUAAAGUUGCUGCAGUUAAAAAGCUCGUAGUUGGAUCUCGGCAGCAUUGAUGCAUACCAUUGUCAAGUUAGUGAGUGGCAUAAUGGUACGGUCUGUUUGGCUAUAGUCCGCACUGCGCUAGGCCUACUACCUGUGUGUGUUUGGCAUGUAACAGUGCUAGCAUAACGGUAAGUGCGACAGCAACGGCGGCAAUUUGUCAAGGCCUAUCAGUCGCUUGUCUAGUUGACUGGUGUGAUAGUGUCAGUGCGGCCUUUCAGCCAUGUCUGUGGUCUAAACAACCGCAGGUGUAGGCGGGUGUCGAGCGGUCUCAGAGCCUUGUUGUUUUGGUCCGCGGCUCGUCGGCAUGCCGCCGGAUGCCCUUAACCGGGUGUCUGGUGGCGGAUGGCACGUUUACUUUGAACAAAUUUGAGUGCUCAAAACAGGCCUUGGUGGCGUGAAAAGUUUUGCAUGGAAUAAUAGAAUAGGACUUCGGUUCUAUUUUGUUGGUUUUCAGAUCCGAAGUAAUGAUCAAAAGAGACGGGCGGGGACGUUUGUAUGGCAGCGAUAGAGGUGAAAUUCAUUGACCGUUGCCAGACACACUGAUGCGAAAGCAUUCGUCAAGCAUGUUUUCAUUGACCAUGAGCAAAAGUCAGAGGCUCGAAGACGAUCAGAUACCGUCGUAGUUCUGACCAUAAACGAUGCCAACUGACGAUCUGUGGUGGAUGGAUAGUGGUCCCCACAGGCAGUCACCGGGAAACCUUUAAGUCUAUGGGUUCCGGGGGAAGUAUGGUUGCAAAGCUGAAACUUAAAGGAAUUGACGGAAGGGCACCACCAGGAGUGGAGCCUGCGGCUUAAUUCGACUCAACACGGGAAAACUCACCCGGCCCGGACACUGUGAGGAUUGACAGAUUGAAAGAUCUUUCUUGAUUCAGUGGUUGGUGGUGCAUGGCCGUUCUUAGUUGGUGGAGUGAUUUGUCUGGUUAAUUCCGAUAACGAACGAGACUCUAGCCUGCUAAUUAGUACGCCUGUCCUCCGUAUCUGUUGUCAGCGGCGCAGUCUCGGUGCAAAAUUGCUGUUAAUUAAAGUAGCGUUCACAUUCUCGGCAAUAGUAACAACGCUUGCACUGUCAGCAUGCACUGUCAACUAGUACCGAAUAGUCUUUAAGCGCGCUGCUACCUGCUUGCCUAUAGGUGGCUCGUAGUUGAGCGUCAGUCAGUGAUUUGGUGAUUGGCUAAUCGUGAAUAGUUCCAAAUGAAUGGCUGUCGUUGUUAUUAUUCUUAGUAGUGAUGGUAGAUUAUACUUGCUAGUAGUAGAAUAAGGCAAGGUUAUAGUAGAAUAGGAAAGAGUUAGUUAGUUAGUUAGUUAAUGAUAAAUGAACGUAUUAAGUCAACUUCUAUUGCUGUAGCAUCCAGUCGCUGGCUGCUGCGGCAGUAGUCACCGGCGUGCAUUUCUUUAUGCUCGUGUGUGUGUAUAUAUAGAGUUGACUUAUUGCCUACUAUCAACUAACUACUACUGCUGCUACCGCUACUAAUAUUGCUGCUUCUACUGUUAGUAGUAUUACUACUAUUAUUAUUGAUUAUAUUAACGCUGCCAUCAUCAUUGGUACUAGCGGCUGGCUAGUUAGCUUGUUAGUUGGAUGAUGCUUAAUGGUUGCGUGUCACGUAUGUGGCCAGUUGCUGUGCUCUUAUAUGGCUUAAUAGGCCUUAAUAGGCAUGCUUGUUGAUGGUGGUGGUGGCGCCUGUUGUCGUUAAUGGGGUUGGGGGUUCUAUCUCCUUCUCGUUUACAGCGUUGGCAGUAGUUGCCGAGCGCAGUUGACAGUGAAGAUAUGGCGCAGGUGGCUGCUUCUUAGAGGGACUUAUGGUUCAAUCCAGAUGAAAUUGAGCAAUAACAGGUCUGUGAUGCCCUUAGAUGUCCGGGGCCGCACGCGCGCUACAAUGACGGUGCCAACGAGUUUGAAAUUCUGGUCCGAAAGGACUGGGUAAACUGUUUAAUCACCGUCGUGACAGGGAUCGGGGCUUGGAAUUGUUCCCCGUGAACGAGGAAUUCCUAGUAAGUGCAAGUCAUAAGCUUGCGCUGAUUACGUCCCUGCCCUUUGUACACACCGCCCGUCGCUACUACCGAUUGAAUGGUUUAGCAAGGUCACUAGAUUGAUGCUAUUUCUGUUAUCACCGUAAGGCGUUGGCAGAAGAGGCGACAAGAAGCUGGCCGAACUUGAUCAUUUAGAGGAAGUAAAAGUCGUAACAAGGUUUCCGU